This 1209-nucleotide ribosomal RNA is filed under the name Thalassiophyllum clathrus. RNAcentral describes it as "eukaryotic LSU rRNA". It matches the Rfam family "Eukaryotic large subunit ribosomal RNA", at positions 1 to 1251 of the family's 3401-position model. The record is from RNAcentral. Lineage: Eukaryota; Phaeophyceae; Laminariales; Agaraceae.
GACCUCCGAUCAAGCAAGAGGACCCGCUGAAUUUAAGCAUAUAACUAAGCGGAGGAAAAGAAACUAACCAGGAUUCCCCCAGUAACGGCGAGUGAAGCGGGAAGAGCUCACGUUGUAAAUCUGCCUUCGGGCCGAAUUGUAGUCUGGAGAGGCGAGGCCAGCCGCAGCCGGGGGCGAAGUCUCUUGGAAAAGAGCAUCAAGGAGGGUGACAAUCCCGUUCUUGCCCCCAAGCUGUGUGCGUACGGUCCGUUUUCUAAGAGUCGAGUUGCUUGGGAUUGCAGCUCAAAGCGGGUGGUAAAUUCCAUCUAAAGCUAAACACGGGUGGGAGACCGAUAGCGAACAAGUACCGUGAGGGAAAGAUGCAAAGAACUUUGAAAAGAGAGUUAAAGAGUGCCUGAAAUUGCUGAAAGGGAAGCGAAGGAAACCAGUGUCUGGCGUCGAAGCUUUCCCUCUGCCCUCCGGGGCUCUGGGUCGCGUCUUCGCCGUGGCCAGGGUCGGGUAUAGUUGCGGGAGCCUGCGCCGCGGAAGGUAGCCUCUCUUCGGAGGGUGAAUACCGCGGCGUGUCGUCGCGACUGUGGCCGGCUCUGACGAAAUGGUUUUCUUUACCCCGUCUUGAAACACGGACCAAGGAGUCUAACAUGCCCGCGAGUACAGGGGUGUUCAAACCCCCGUGCGCAGUGAAAGUGAAUGCAGGUGGGAAGCCGCAAGGUGGCACCAUCGACCGACCAUGUCCCUCCGGGGGCGAGGUUUGAGUGUGAGCGUGCAUGUUGGGACCCGAAAGAUGGUGAACUAUGCCUGAAUAGGGCGAAGCCAGGGGAAACUCUGGUGGAGGCUCGUAGCGAUUCUGACGUGCAAAUCGAUCGUGAGAUUUGGGUAUAGGGGCGAAAGACUAAUCGAACCAUCUAGUAGCUGGUUCCCUCCGAAAUUUCCCUCAGGAUAGCUGCAACCUGCGUUCAGUUUUAUCAGGUAAAGCGAAUGAUUAGAGGCUGCGGGGAAGCAACUUCCUCGCCCUAUUCUCAAACUUUAAAUGGGUAAGAGACCGGGGUCGCUUAAUUGGACCCUGUGUUGGAAUGAAGGUUGCUAGUGGGCCAGUCCGGGUAAGCUGGACUGGCGAUGCGGGAUGAACCGAACGCCUAGUUAAAGCGCCAAACUGCCCGCUCACCUAGAUCCCACAAAAGGUGUUGGUUCAUUUAGACAGCAGGACGGUGG